This 660-nucleotide ribosomal RNA is filed under the name uncultured bacterium. Its description in RNAcentral is "bacterial SSU rRNA". It matches the Rfam family "Bacterial small subunit ribosomal RNA", at positions 13 to 665 of the family's 1533-position model. The record is from RNAcentral.
UUGAUCAUGGCUCAGGAUGAACGCUAGCGGCAGGCUUAAUACAUGCAAGUCGAGGGGCAGCAGUUUUGUAGCAAUACAGAAGCUGGCGACCGGCAAACGGGUGCGGAACACGUACGCAACCUUCCUCUAACUGGAAGAUAGCCCACCGAAAGGUGGAUUAAUAUUCCAUAGUAUAUUGAAAAGGCAUCUUUUUGAUAUUAAAGCUCCGGCGGUUAGAGAUGGGCGUGCGUCUGAUUAGGUAGUUGGCGGGGUAACGGCCCACCAAGCCUACGAUCAGUAGCUGAUGUGAGAGCAUGAUCAGCCACACGGGCACUGAGACACGGGCCCGACUCCUACGGGAGGCAGCAGUAAGGAAUAUUGGUCAAUGGACGCAAGUCUGAACCAGCCAUGCCGCGUGGAGGAUGAAGGCCCUCUGGGUUGUAAACUUCUUUUCUUUGGGGCGAAACCCCUGUUUCUACGGGGACUGACGGUACCAGAGGAAUAAGCACCGGCUAACUCCGUGCCAGCAGCCGCGGUAAUACGGAGGGUGCAAGCGUUAUCCGGAUUCACUGGGUUUAAAGGGAGCGUAGGUGGGCUUUUAAGUCAGUGGUGAAAUCUUUGGGCUUAACCCGAAAACUGCCAUUGAUACUAUUAGUCUUGAAUUCUCUGGAGGUAAGCGGA